RNAcentral lists this ribosomal RNA (252 nucleotides) under uncultured bacterium. Its description in RNAcentral is "partial 16S ribosomal RNA". It matches the Rfam family "Bacterial small subunit ribosomal RNA", at positions 524 to 776 of the family's 1533-position model. The record is from RNAcentral.
UGCGUAGGUCCCGAGCGUUGUCCGGAUUUAUUGGGCGUAAAGCGAGCGCAGGUGGUUUAUUAAGUCUGGUGUAAAAGGCAGUGGCUCAACCAUUGUAUGCAUUGGAAACUGGUAGACUUGAGUGCAGGAGAGGAGAGUGGAAUUCCAUGUGUAGCGGUGAAAUGCGUAGAUAUAUGGAGGAACACCGGUGGCGAAAGCGGCUCUCUGGCCUGUAACUGACACUGAGGCUCGAAAGCGUGGGGAGCAAACAGG